AGGGUUUGAUCAUGGCUCAGAACGUACGCUGGCGGCACGCCUAACACAUGCAAGUCGAACGCAGUAGCAAUACUGAGUGGCAGACGGGUGAGUAACAUGUGGGAAUCUGCCUUGUGGUUCAGGACAACAUUGGGAAACCGAUGCUAAUACUGGAUAAGCCCUUACGGGGAAAGUUUUAAUGCCAUAAGAUGAGCCCGCAUUUGAUUAGUUAGUUGGUGAGGUAAUGGCUCACCAAGACAAUGAUCAAUAGCUGAUCUGAGAGGAUGAUCAGCCACACUGGGACUGAGACACGGCCCAGACUCCUACGGGAGGCAGCAGUGGGGAAUCUUGCACAAUGGAGGAAACUCUGAUGCAGCGAUGCCGCGUGAGUGAAGAAGGCCUUUGGGUUGUAAAGCUCUUUUGUAGGGGAAGAUAAUGACUGUACCCUAAGAAUAAGGUCCGGCUAACUUCGUGCCAGCAGCCGCGGUAAUACGAAGGGACCUAGCGUAGUUCGGAAUUACUGGGCGUAAAGCGCGCGUAGGCCGUUGAGUUAGUUAAUUGUGAAAUCCCAAAGCUUAACUUUGGAACUGCAAUUAAAACUGCUCGACUAGAGUUUGAUAGAGGAAAGCGGAAUACAUAGUGUAGAGGUGAAAUUCGUAGAUAUUAUGUAGAACACCAGUUGCGAAGGCGGCUUUCUGGAUCAACACUGACGCUGAGGCGCGAAAGUAUGGGUAGCAAAGAGGAUUAGAUACCCUCGUAGUCCAUGCCGUAAACGAUGUGUGUUAGACGUUGGAAAUUUAUUUUCAGUGUCGCAGCGAAAGCGAUAAACACACCGCCUGGGGAGUACGACCGCAAGGUUAAAACUCAAAUGAAUUGACGGGGACCCGCACAAGUAGUGGAGCAUGUGGUUUAAUUCGAAGAUACGCGCAGAACCUUACCAACACUUGACAUGUUCGUCGCGACUCUAAGAGAUUAGAGUUUUCGGUUCGGCCGGACGAAACACAGGUGCUGCAUGGCUGUCGUCAGCUCGUGUCGUGAGAUGUUGGGUUAAGUCCCGCAACGAGCGCAACCCUCACUUUUAGUUGCCAUCAUUAAGUUGGGCACUCUGAAAGAACUGCCAGUGAUAAGCUGGAGGAAGGUGGGGAUGACGUCAAGUCCUCAUGGCCCUUACAGGUUGGGCUACACACGUGCUACAAUGGCGGUGACAAUGGGAAGCGAAGGUGCGAGCCUUAGCAAAUCUCAAAAAGCCGUCUCAGUUCGGAUUGCACUCUGCAACUCGAGUGCAUGAAGGUGGAAUCGCUAGUAAUCGUGGAUCAGAAUGUCACGGUGAAUACGUUCCCGGGUCUUGUACACACCGCCCGUCACACCAUGGGAGCGGGUUCUGCCAGAAGUAGUUAGCCUAACCGUAAGGAGGGCGAUUACCACGGCAGGGUUCGUGACUGGGGUGAAGUCAUAACAAGGUAGCCGUA
Molecule: ribosomal RNA, 1448 nt
Filed under: uncultured bacterium
Lineage: Bacteria
Description: 16S ribosomal RNA
Rfam family: Bacterial small subunit ribosomal RNA
Source: RNAcentral